Molecule: ribosomal RNA, 438 nt
Filed under: Hapalemur griseus JF2002
Lineage: Eukaryota; Metazoa; Chordata; Mammalia; Primates; Lemuridae
Description: partial 12S ribosomal RNA
Rfam family: Bacterial small subunit ribosomal RNA
Source: RNAcentral
AAACUAGAUUAGAUACCCUAUUAUGCUUAGCCGUAAACCUAAAUAAUUAAUAAACAAAAUUAUUCGCCAGAGUACUACAAGCAACAGCUUAAAACUCAAAGGACUUGGCGGUGCUUUAUAUCCCUCUAGAGGAGCCUGUUCUAUAAUCGAUAAACCCCGAUAAACCUCACCACUUCUUGCUAAUUCAACUUAUAUACCGCCAUCCUCAGCAAACCCUGUCAAGGCCUCAAAGUAAGCAAAAACACAUACAUAAAGACGUUAGGUCAAGGUGUAGUCUAUGAAGUGGAAAGAAAUGGGCUACAUUUUCUAACAUAAGAACAACAUCCCAACAGAAGCCUUUAUGAAACUAAAAGCCAAAGGAGGAUUUAGCAGUAAAUUAAGAAUAGAGAGCUUAAUUGAAUUGGGCCAUGAAGCACGCACACAUCGCCCGUCGCUCUU